ACAGACACUCUAAAAGCUCAAGAGAUCAAUUAUUCAACUUCAAGAACUGAAUUUGAACACAGAUUUUGAGCUUCCAAAUCAGACUGCUGUUAAACUGGCUCACUCCAUAUACUCUGUGCCACAGCGAUUUAAUAUUUCAUUAAAAAGCAUUAAUGAUGGCUCCAGUGAAUUUCUCCUAUUCAAGCUCCAUAAUGGCAGCAAUUCAAGUGACUGUUGAUCUCUGAGUGAUGCAACACAAAAACAUCGCCUAACAAAGGGACACUUGGAGUGCUACUCAUAUUCUCUGCAACUUGAGAUUUGUGAACAGUGAAAUGAUAUGAUGGAAAACGUGUUGUGGAACUUUUAGGAAGAUUAAUCUAUCAACAGUAAGCAAGAUGGAGAGUAAAGAGAAGUAUCUGAAACCUGGAGACCAGUGAUAAUUCUAUUGAAGUA
Long non-coding RNA from Nomascus leucogenys (northern white-cheeked gibbon), 432 nucleotides. RefSeq lists it as uncharacterized. Lineage: Eukaryota; Metazoa; Chordata; Mammalia; Primates; Hylobatidae. The record is from RefSeq and is a predicted model, not a curated record. The transcript has 3 exons.